Molecule: ribosomal RNA, 384 nt
Filed under: uncultured bacterium
Lineage: Bacteria
Description: bacterial SSU rRNA
Rfam family: Bacterial small subunit ribosomal RNA
Source: RNAcentral
GACGAACGCUGGCGGCGUGCUUAACACAUGCAAGUCGAGCGGUAAGGCCCUUCGGGGUACACGAGCGGCGAACGGGUGAGUAACACGUGGGUAACCUGCCCUCAGCUCUGGGAUAAGCCCGGGAAACUGGGUCUAAUACCGGAUAUCACCUUGGGAGGCAUCUUCCGGGGUUGAAAGUUUUUGGCGGCUGAGGAUGGGCCCGCGGCCUAUCAGCUUGUUGGUGGGGUAGUGGCCUACCAAGGCGACGACGGGAGCCGGCCUGAGAGGGCGACCGGCCACACUGGGACUGAGACACGGCCCAGACUCCUACGGGAGGCAGCAGUGGGGAAUAUUGCACAAUGGGCGAAAGCCUGAUGCAGCGACGCCGCGUGAGGGAUGACGGCC